AACUCAGUCGAAAACUCAAGACAGCGCAAAAUGGUUGGUUCUGAAGUCUACACAGAGUCGUUUGGGAGGCUACAACAAGAAGAGGCAAUAGCUGCUGCUGUGCUCCAUGGACGCUGCUUCGAACUAAUUACUGUCAUAAAAAGCUGUAUAAUGUCCUUUUAUAUAUUAACUACAUUUCAUUGUUUCAGUUGUGGUAUUAUUUACCGCGGUCACCUACGCUGUCCUCUUUUUCUAACGAUGUUUUUGUCACUAUCUUGUGAAGAUUCGUGCCUUUUCUUUCGAGGGAAAGACAUACAGAUGGAAGACGUCAAUUAAGGUAAUUUAUUACUAAUAGUUUAACCGAGAGACAUAAAUACAUACACAAAUUUCGCGAGUGGUUCUUUUUGUACUUAUUAAUUUUGGAGGGUAGUUGCUCAUUGAUCGAUAUAUCGGGAUAGACACCCAAACCGUAAAUAAUUAUUUGACUAACCAGUUGGCGCAGCUUAUGGUGGCCCUGCUUUCUGUUCCUCGGGUUGCGGGCUCGAUUCCCGUCUGAGUCUGGAUGUAAUAUUUGUAUUUAUUUAUAUGUAUUUCUUUAUGUGUUAUUUCUAAAUUAUAACAGUCUGCUGUUACUUGUAACACAAACAUUAAGUUGCUUACCAUACGAUCAGACGACCGUGUUAUAAGAUAUUUAUUUAUUUAUUUUAAACAAAGAUCUGCCCUAAAUAAUAAUCGAAUCCGUGACCAUCGCCAUUUUAGGAUAUGCGCACCACCACACCAAACGGUUUGCUGUUCGUUACAAUCAAUGUACUCGUAGAACAAAAACUCAUUUUACCCUCGUUGUCAUUAAAGCAUACUGUUUCGUCUCCAACUAACAUUGCGAUUUUUUAAUUAUUUAUAAUCGUUUUUACAAUACGUUACACUACGCUUUAACUAAGAUUUCAACGUGUACUGAUCGACAGCUUAUAACUAUUUAUAGUAAACUAUAUCUAAAGUGAGAAGUAUUUUUCAAAUUAAUUCCAUAUAUACAUAUAAAAUUCGUGAGAUAAUUAAACUAAUCUUUUAUUUUGUUCUAUUGAUACUCCUAUAAUUGACUUACAGCUUAUUGUAUACUAUAGCUGUACUUUAUAAAGUACAGCUUACCGUAUUAAUAUUUUAUAACACUAUUUUUUAUUUGUAUUUAGGUAGUGUGUUAUAUUACAUUAUAUAGAUAUAAAACCAUUAAUCGUAUUUAUUACUAUCUCACAUGCAAAAACAAAAUUUAUAUGAGUAUUCUUUAAAAUUGAAUAUAUUUAAUUCUUGAAUAUCGUUGGAUGAAAAUCGCAAACGGUAAACCAAACG
Molecule: unclassified non-coding RNA, 1320 nt
Filed under: Melitaea cinxia (Glanville fritillary)
Lineage: Eukaryota; Metazoa; Arthropoda; Insecta; Lepidoptera; Nymphalidae
Description: misc RNA ENSMCXG00005016110.1
Source: RNAcentral